AGGCCAGUUAUAACCAGAGCUUUUCCAGUCAGCCUCACCAAGUGGAACAAACAGAGCUUCAACAAGACCAGCUGCAAACUGUGGUUGGCACUUACCAUGGAUCCCAGGACCAGCCUCAUCAAGUGCCUGGUAACCACCAGCAGCCCCCCCAGCAGAGCACCGGCUUUCCACGUAGCAGUCAGCCUUAUUACAACAGUCGCGGUGUAUCUCGAGGAGGGUCUCGUGGUGCCAGAGGUUUGAUGAAUGGAUACAGGGGCCCUGCCAAUGGAUUUAGAGGAGGAUAUGAUGGUUACCGCUCUUCAUUCUCCAACACUCCAAACAGUGGCUAUACACAGUCUCAGUUCAAUGCUCCCCGGGACUACUCUGGCUACCAGCGGGUAUGUAAAUAUAGGGUAAUUAAGUGAUUUGGGGUUAGUUUUAUGGUGUCCAUCAUGCAUUGUUAUAUGACUUUGGCUUUUUGAUUGUUUGUUUGAAAAAAACAUGUUUUUCUUUAAACAUUACUUAAUGUAGUUUGCUUAAGAGAAUCUCAGACUUAGCUGUAAUAUACUGAUGUCUAGAAGGAGUUAAUAUAUUUUGCUAUUGUAAGCUAUCAGACUAGAUAUAAUUAACCAAAACUACCUUUCCUUUCACAACUAACUAGCUUGUCUUUCAGGAUGGAUAUCAGCAGAAUUUCAAGCGAGGCUCUGGGCAGAGUGGACCACGGGGAGCCCCACGAGGUAAUAUUUUGUGGUGGUGAUCCUAGCUCCUAUGUGGAGCUUCUGUUCUGGCCUUG
RNAcentral lists this long non-coding RNA (772 nucleotides) under Rattus norvegicus (Norway rat). RNAcentral describes it as "long non-coding RNA NONRATT019518". Lineage: Eukaryota; Metazoa; Chordata; Mammalia; Rodentia; Muridae. The record is from RNAcentral.